Molecule: ribosomal RNA, 563 nt
Filed under: Hansenula anomala
Lineage: Eukaryota; Fungi; Ascomycota; Saccharomycetes; Phaffomycetales; Wickerhamomycetaceae
Description: eukaryotic LSU rRNA
Rfam family: Eukaryotic large subunit ribosomal RNA
Source: RNAcentral
GCCUCAGUACGGCGAGUGAAGCGGCAAAAGCUCAAAUUUGAAAUCUAGCACCUUCGGUGUUUGAGUUGUAAUUUGAAGAUGGUAACCUUGGGUUUGGCUCUUGUCUAUGUUCCUUGGAACAGGACGUCAUAGAGGGUGAGAAUCCCGUCUGAUGAGAUGCCCAUUCCUAUGUAAGGUGCUAUCGAAGAGUCGAGUUGUUUGGGAAUGCAGCUCUAAGUGGGUGGUAAAUUCCAUCUAAAGCUAAAUAUUGGCGAGAGACCGAUAGCGAACAAGUACAGUGAUGGAAAGAUGAAAAGAACUUUGAAAAGAGAGUGAAAAAGUACGUGAAAUUGUUGAAAGGGAAGGGCAUUAGAUCAGACUUGGUGUUUUACGAUUAUCUUCUCUUCUUGAGUUGUGCACUCGUAUUUCACUGGGCCAGCAUCGAUUCGGAUGGCAAGAUAAUGGCAGUUGAAUGUGGCUUCACUUCGGUGGAGUGUUAUAGCUUCUGCUGAUAUUGCCUGUCUGGAUCGAGGGCUGCGUCUUUUGACUAGGAUGCUGGCGUAAUGAUCUAAUGCCGCCCGUCU